Molecule: long non-coding RNA, 1404 nt
Organism: Carassius carassius (crucian carp)
Lineage: Eukaryota; Metazoa; Chordata; Actinopteri; Cypriniformes; Cyprinidae
Exons: 4
Source: RefSeq, a predicted model, not a curated record
CUGGCAAGUCUGCAGCACAUCCUAAACGACUGGGCAGAUGGCCAGUUUCCUGUAGUGGACUCUCACGACUCCCCCAUUCACCUAGGUACAAUCAACAAAUCACAGCUGCGGGAGCAUCUGCAUCAGCAUAGAAAUGAGGUAAUUGAACCCAUAAUGUGCUGGGUCAUAACAAGAACUGUGCACAGUUACUGAAAGAAUGAUACAAAUAAUGAAAGAAUAAUUAAAGUAUGUAAAUUCAGAGGCUGGUUUCUCAGUGAAUGUUUUUUUUUUCUCUGUGUUCCUCUAUAUAAUGUGUGUUUGUGUGUGUUCUGUCAGGCUCAUUCCAUCAUGAGUGUCACGGGUGAGCAACGUCUGUUUAUAACGGAGAGUGGGCGGCUGUGUGGCGUCAUCACAUGGAAAGAGACCCUCCCAAAGGCGAGAUCCUCUGCACCUGCGGUGGACGCUCCGUGUCCAGCGGAGAAUGAGAAUGACUGGGGGAAUGAGACUGAGGAGGAUGAGAAGUUGCUAGAGAGCUGGUGUCAUCAGCUUCCAUGUGCAUUCCGUACAUGUGCCGAGGAACACUCAAACUCCCUCCAUCCAACAGGAACUGAGAAAGAUAAGGGCCCUCGGGGUCUGUGAAGACAUCGUCAUCAUUGUGAGAGCAGGAAUUAAAAAGACCUCAUGCACACACAUCCUCUAGGAUGAGAAUUAUAGCGUAAAUGAUUAAGCCCAUUAAAUCCAAACUCAAUAUCCCGGUCUGAUCUGCUCGAUCCAUGAGUCAUCGUGUCCCAGACACAUUCAGACAUUUCUGUUUUGCAGUCAAUUAUUUGUGUGCAAGGCUUAAAGUAAACAGGCCAUUUGUCAUUAUACUGGGCUUAUUACCACACAUGGGUUAUCAUCCCCUUGUAAUGAAAUAACAGUAUUUUUAUAGCUGGGACAGCAAGAGAUGAACCAGAUGGUCAGAGUGACCUCCCUAAGUGCUGUGCUACUUUUUCUCAAUAGAUGUAUAAAUAAAAUAUAUAUGAGAUAAUAUAAUUAAGAAUAUAUGGGAAAGGAAGUUGUGAGAGUUUCUUCAUAAAGACUUAUUUCCAUUCAAACUAGUUUAGACCUGGUCUUGCUAUCAGACCAGUAGUAAGUACAUUUCACAUGGAACAGCUAACAUUAUGAUGACUAGCAAAGCUGAUCUUUUUAGCAUUGUUACGUCUACACUCUUAUAAUGAAGGUUCUUUUCUGGCAUCUAUGGUUCCACGAAGAACCUUUCCAUAGCAAAAACGGUUCUUUAUAGUGGAAAAAAAGGUUCUUUAGAUUUUGAAAAUGUUCUUUAUGCUAAGAAACAAUAAUUGGUUAUUUUUGCAGUUCACUAAAAUGUUCUCUGGGGUACCAAAAAUAUCAAAUCUCUUGGUAAUUGCAACUUUUUUUGGGGGG